This 97-nucleotide ribosomal RNA is filed under the name uncultured eukaryote. Its description in RNAcentral is "partial small subunit ribosomal RNA". The record is from RNAcentral.
UCGCUCCUACCGAUUUCGAGUGAUCCGGUGAACCUUUUGGACUGCCUCGGCUUCCGGGGCGGAAAAUCAAGUAAACCUUAUCACUUAGAGGAAGGAG